CACUACUUUAUUUACAUCGUCGGCGAGCUAAGCCCAUUGAGUGGUAAUAUCGUGGAACAACUUAUACGCGUUAUAUAUCGUCCUUCGGGCUAUCUCGCUACUGGCUUUGAAAAACAAAGAAAAUGUUAAACGAAGCAUGUACGAGGUAUCGUACUAUGCUAAAAUCAUACUAUUCUUACUCAGGCAAUAUUUUUUGCCACUCAAUUUCAAUUGCUUUCCAUUUGGCAUGAUCGACCUCCCGGAACAGAUUGGGGUACAUCCCAUCGACAAACCUCCUCCUCUUCGAAUGUGAUAUGGUGAAGAUGUGUACGGUAUCCUCGAAACAUUUCCAACCCCACAAAUAGUUGUUGAAGCGAUCAAUGUCGUUGACGAUCUUCAGGUGGAAGAGGUCGAUCGCAAUCUUCUUGUGGUGACACUGUACCACGCUCUCAAGGAUAUAGACUAGACCUAACUUUAGCCUGUCUAACAUCUAGUCACACCUCUUGAUUGUGUUGAUCAGCUAAGGCAAAUUCACCAUCCUCUGUCCGUGAAAGUAAGCGUACUGCAACUUAUUUCUUUUCUGAGACCCGUCACUAGCUAUGACUUUGCCCCUAAGGUUAAAGUGGAGAGCAACUCCGUCGAUUGGACUCAGUAACUGACAUAGAAGUGAAUAGAUGAUCUGACCUGAGUACUACACAUCUCUUAACUGGUACAGGGGCCAUAGAAAGGACUGCCGCAGCAUAUUUGCAUGCUGAUCGUCGAUCAAUUCCAGUAUAGUGGUAAAACUGUCAAGACUACUGUUCCACAGUAGCUUGCGUGGCAUAUGUCUCAAUUCUGUGUUUAGAUGAUAAUUUAUCCUGCAAAAAUUCGAAAUAUUAUAAAAUUGUACAAGAGAUAAUGGAAUAAAGCAUAAUAACAGAAAAUCACACGAACCGAAUCGUAACUACUAUACGCAAGACGUAGAAUCAUUUGAAA
RNAcentral lists this long non-coding RNA (954 nucleotides) under Olea europaea subsp. europaea. Lineage: Eukaryota; Viridiplantae; Streptophyta; Magnoliopsida; Lamiales; Oleaceae. The record is from RNAcentral.